Molecule: transfer RNA, 72 nt
Rfam family: tRNA
About the family: Transfer RNA (tRNA) molecules are approximately 80 nucleotides in length.
Source: Rfam
GGGAGAUUAGUGUAGUGGUUAUCAUACCUGCCUUCCAAGCAGGUGACAUGGGUUCGAAUCCCGUAUCUCUCA